This 457-nucleotide ribosomal RNA is filed under the name uncultured Leptospiraceae bacterium. Its description in RNAcentral is "bacterial SSU rRNA". It matches the Rfam family "Bacterial small subunit ribosomal RNA", at positions 920 to 1382 of the family's 1533-position model. The record is from RNAcentral. Lineage: Bacteria; Pseudomonadati; Spirochaetota; Leptospiria; Leptospirales; Leptospiraceae.
CCCGCACAAGCGGUGGAGCAUGUGGUUAAUUCGAUGAUACGCGAAAACCUUACCUGGGCUUGAACUGUACCUGACAGGUGUAGAGAUACACUCUUCUUCGGACAGGUAUAGAGGUGCUGCAUGGUUGUCGUCAGCUCGUGUCGUGAGAUGUUGGGUUAAGUCCCGCAACGAGCGCAACCCUUACUCUCUGUUGCCAUCAGGUAAUGCUGAGCACUCUGAGGGAACUGCCGGUGACAAACCGGAGGAAGGUGGGAUGACGUCAAAUCAUCACGGCCCUUACGUCCAGGGCUACACACGUGCUACAAUGGCCGGUACAAAGAGCUGCGAUGCCGCGAAGUGGAGCUAAUCUCAAAAAACCGGUCUCAGUUCGGAUUGCAGUCUGCAACUCGACUGCAUGAAGUUGGAAUCGCUAGUAAUCGUAGAUCAGCACGCUACGGUGAAUACGUUCCCGGGCCUU